Ornithodoros turicata is the source of this 1369-nucleotide long non-coding RNA. RefSeq lists it as uncharacterized. The record is from RefSeq and is a predicted model, not a curated record. The transcript is spliced from 4 exons. Lineage: Eukaryota; Metazoa; Arthropoda; Arachnida; Ixodida; Argasidae.
CGUCAUUCAUAUGUUGCUGCAGUAAACGACCUAUUCGGCACUUUACCAUCCUAAAUUAUUAUGCAUGCCUGUAUAUAAAUACGUCUCAUCAUCAUGGAACGUUUGUAUUUGUUGCUCCUUCGGCUGCCGCAUCAUUAUUUCAAGAGUUUGGCGGAAGAUAUGAUGCCUUGGAGUGAGCCACGGCCCGUCCACCUUCCUUCCACGCUUGACCAUCCCAGGACGUUCCAUUUUCCUCCCGCCUCACAAAGCAUACGGAAAGCAGGCAUUUUUAAUGCGUGAGCACUAAAGUCGUCGCUAAGCAAGAAUCGAGGCGUGUUCUGUCUGUAGCCACGGAAGUGGAGAGGGGCGCUGCGAGGGGAGAGGGCCCAUGGAUAUCCCGACGUGGCGGCAGUGGCAGGUGCAGCUGUGGUGGUCGGCAGGUCGACAGUUUCAGAUGUGACUGCGUGGGCUCGCCAUGGACUAUGAAAGCUGUGCGUAGGACCGGCGUCGAAAUUGUGUCGAAACCAGAUGUGUCGACCGGGGCCAAGCUGAAUAGGAGCAAGCCCAAAAGGCUCGUUUGCCCACGUAUGCUGUCUUGCGUUAGCGUUAUGUAGGGUCGUGUGAAGGGGAGUUCCAAAAGCAUUUCCGUCAGACCCACCUAUGGAUCGACUUUUUUUUUUUUGCUUUCUAGACUGGACAUUACGGCCAUCUCGCUAUGUCAAACCAAGAAUAAUCAUAUCGGCAAUCUAUUACAUCAGCAUUUCUUGAAUGUUGGUGGCACCUUUGCCGUCGACGUCAGAUGAAGUCCCUUAUUUUCUUACCCGUUCUUACCCCUUUUCCCCUCAGAUUCAAGGGAAUGCUAUCUGCUUACGUGGCGUCGCUCAUGAUCUCAGCUGUCUCGCGACGUAAACCCCCAGUUAUUAUUAUUCGUAUUUAACUAUCUGCUUACCUGAAUGUUUACCCAUCUAGCUUGCCUUUCACCGUGACCACCGUGACUGUGAUCAUAUCGACACUGGUUCACUGACUCUGGCAACUGUGGUUGUACCCACCGUGAAUCCAAUCGAAGUGCGAUAUCCAAGCCAAGCCAAUCCAUAUUAGCGCAGCUGUUUUGACUGCUGUUAGUCGGUGUCUCGCAAAAAAAGCGUUCUCCCUUUGAUGGCACACGGCACGACACGGCACGGACAACCCUGAAUCAAUGUACCGUUGCAGCAAAGACGGGAUUUGGCUAUGAAUUCAGUGCUCCUCAAGGAAGACAACUGUGAACAUAAUGACGACUGGCAGAAAAUCUCUCUCCACUUCAAACAGGCAAGGAGCAGGAAGACAAGUAAAGCCAGAGCCAAACGCAAAGGAAGAUGCAAUUCCAUAAGAAAUGUACAUCUCGCUAUCUGAA